This 497-nucleotide ribosomal RNA is filed under the name uncultured bacterium. RNAcentral's name for it is "partial 16S ribosomal RNA". It matches the Rfam family "Bacterial small subunit ribosomal RNA", at positions 28 to 507 of the family's 1533-position model. The record is from RNAcentral.
GAUGAACGCUGGCGGCGUGCCUAAUACAUGCGAGUCGAGCGAACAGACGAGGAGCUUGCUCCUCUGACGUUAGCGGCGGACGGGUGAGUAACACGUGGAUAACCUACCUAUAAGACUGGGAUGACUUCGGGAAACCGGAGCUAAUACCGGAUAAUAUAUUGAACCGCAUGGUUCAAUAGUGAAAGACGGUUUUGCUGUCACUUAUAGAUGGAUCCGCGCCGCAUUAGCUAGUUGGUAAGGUAACGGCUUACCAAGGCAACGAUGCGUAGCCGACCUGAGAGGGUGAUCGACCACACUGGAACUGAGACACGGUCCAGACUCCUACGGGAGGCAGCAGUAGGGAAUCUUCCGCAAUGGGCGAAAGCCUGACGGAGCAACGCCGCGUGAGUGAUGAAGGUCUUCGGAUCGUAAAACUCUGUUAUUAGGGAAGAACAAAUGUGUAAGUAACUAUGCACGUCUUGACGGUACCUAAUCAGAAAGCCACGGCUAACUACGUG